This 271-nucleotide long non-coding RNA is filed under the name Lathyrus oleraceus (garden pea). RNAcentral describes it as "Pisum sativum (pea) long non-coding RNA (PSAT_LNC024959)". Lineage: Eukaryota; Viridiplantae; Streptophyta; Magnoliopsida; Fabales; Fabaceae. The record is from RNAcentral.
UAUGAUAGAGACUCACCUUUUAAACCAGAAUACUCCUCGAUUCUGUAGGUUGGUAGAACCUCUUCCAUUAUUUUUGUCAUUUGUUUGCACUCAUGUUGUUGUUAUUGUUGUGUUUAUAUGUCGAUUAGGGGUAAAAUUUAGGGAUAAUAGAGGUUAGGGAUCAUAUUAGAAGGAUAUAUGGUUUCUGUUUUGUUUGAUCUGUUUGUGCGGGGUUCGGUUAAGUGGUUGAGGAGAUUGGUUUGGGGAUUGGAUGUGUGUUUGGAGGUUUCUG